RNAcentral lists this ribosomal RNA (484 nucleotides) under uncultured bacterium. RNAcentral's name for it is "partial 16S ribosomal RNA". It matches the Rfam family "Bacterial small subunit ribosomal RNA", at positions 30 to 507 of the family's 1533-position model. The record is from RNAcentral.
AUUGAACGCUGGCGGCAGGCCUAACACAUGCAAGUCGAGCGGAUGAAGGGAGCUUGCUCCUGGAUUCAGCGGCGGACGGGUGAGUAAUGCCUAGGGAUCUGCCUGGUAGUGGGGGAUAACGUCCGGAAACGGGCGCUAAUACCGCAUACGUCCUGAGGGAGAAAGUGGGGGAUCUUCGGACCUCACGCUAUCAGAUGAGCCUAGGUCGGAUUAGCUAGUUGGUGGGGUAAAGGCCUACCAAGGCGACGAUCCGUAACUGGUCUGAGAGGAUGAUCAGUCACACUAGAACUGAGACACGGUCCAGACUCCUACGGGAGGCAGCAGUGGGGAAUAUUGGACAAUGGGCGAAAGCCUGAUCCAGCCAUGCCGCGUGUGUGAAGAAGGUCUUCGGAUUGUAAAGCACUUUAAGUUGGGAGGAAGGGCAGUAAGUUAAUACCUUGCUGUUUUGACGUUACCAACAGAAUAAGCACCGGCUAACUUCGUG